ACUUAUAUUCUGUAGCAAGGUUAACCGCAUAGGGGAGCCGGAGGGAAACCGAGUCUUAAUUGGGCGUUAAGUUGCAGGGUAUAGACCCGAAACCCGGUGAUCUAGCCAUGGGCAGGUUGAAGGUUGGGUAACACUAACUGGAGGACCGAACCGACUAAUGUUGAAAAAUUAGCGGAUGACCUGUGGCUGGGGGUGAAAGGCCAAUCAAACCGGGAGAUAGCUGGUUCUCCCCGAAAGCUAUUUAGGUAGCGCCUCGUGAAUUCAUCUCCGGGGGUAGAGCACUGUUUCGGCUAGGGGGCCAUCCCGGCUUACCAACCCGAUGCAAACUGCGAAUACCGGAGAAUGUUAUCACGGGAGACACACGGCGGGUGCUAACGUCCGUCGUGAAGAGGGAAACAACCCAGACCGCCAGCUAAGGUCCCAAAGUCAUGGUUAAGUGGGAAACGAUGUGGGAAGGCCCAGACAGCCAGGAUGUUGGCUUAGAAGCAGCCAUCAUUUAAAGAAAGCGUAAUAGCUCACUGGUCGAGUCGGCCUGCGCGGAAGAUGUAACGGGGCUAAACCAUGCACCGAAGCUGCGGCAGCGACGCUGAUGCGUUGUUGGGUAGGGGAGCGUUCUGUAAGCCUGUGAAGGUGGCCUGUGAGGGUUGCUGGAGGUAUCAGAAGUGCGAAUGCUGACAUAAGUAACGAUAAAGCGGGUGAAAAGCCCGCUCGCCGGAAGACCAAGGGUUCCUGUCCAACGUUAAUCGGGGCAGGGUGAGUCGACCCCUAAGGCGAGGCCGAAAGGCGUAGUCGAUGGGAAACGGGUUAAUAUUCCCGUACUUGGUGUUACUGCGAAGGGGGGACGGAGAAGGCUAUGUUGGCCGGGCGACGGUUGUCCCGGUUUAAGCGUGUAGGUGUGUGUUCCAGGUAAAUCCGGUUCACUUUAACACUGAGGCGUGAUGACGAGGCACUACGGUGCUGAAGCAACAAAUGCCCUGCUUCCAGGAAAAGCCUCUAAGCAUCAGGUAACAUCAAAUCGUACCCCAAACCGACACAGGUGGUCAGGUAGAGAAUACCAAGGCGCUUGAGAGAACUCGGGUGAAGGAACUAGGCAAAAUGGUGCCGUAACUUCGGGAGAAGGCACGCUGACAC
Molecule: ribosomal RNA, 1131 nt
Filed under: Salmonella enterica subsp. enterica serovar Kentucky
Lineage: Bacteria; Pseudomonadati; Pseudomonadota; Gammaproteobacteria; Enterobacterales; Enterobacteriaceae
Description: partial 23S ribosomal RNA
Rfam family: Bacterial large subunit ribosomal RNA
Source: RNAcentral